RNAcentral lists this transfer RNA (95 nucleotides) under Lentinus tigrinus ALCF2SS1-7. Its description in RNAcentral is "tRNA-Pro". Lineage: Eukaryota; Fungi; Basidiomycota; Agaricomycetes; Polyporales; Polyporaceae. The record is from RNAcentral.
GGCCUGGUGGUCUAGUAGUAUGAUUCCUUCUUAGGGUGUUCAGGCGGCUGUGUUUCAUUUGGAGGAGGUCCCGGGUUCACUUCCCGGCCAGGCCC